CGUGCUAAUCUGCGAUAAGCGCCGGUAAGGUGAUAUGAACCGUUAUAACCGGCGAUUUCCGAAUGGGGAAACCCAGUGUGACUCGUCACACUAUCAUUAACUGAAUCCAUAGGUUAAUGAGGCGAACCGGGGGAACUGAAACAUCUAAGUACCCCGAGGAAAAGAAAUCAACCGAGAUUCCCCCAGUAGCGGCGAGCGAACGGGGAGGAGCCCAGAGCCUGAAUCAGCAUGUGUGUUAGUGGAAGCGUCUGGAAAGGCGCGCGAUACAGGGUGACAGCCCCGUACACAAAAGCGCAUGUGCUGUGAGCUCGAUGAGUAGGGCGGGACACGUGGUAUCCUGUCUGAAUAUGGGGGGACCAUCCUCCAAGGCUAAAUACUCCUGACUGACCGAUAGUGAACCAGUACCGUGAGGGAAAGGCGAAAAGAACCCCGGCGAGGGGAGUGAAAAAGAACCUGAAACCGUGUACGUACAAGCAGUGGGAGCACCCUUUGGGGUGUGACUGCGUACCUUUUGUAUAAUGGGUCAGCGACUUAUAUUCUGUAGCAAGGUUAACCGAAUAGGGGAGC
This 567-nucleotide ribosomal RNA is filed under the name Salmonella enterica. RNAcentral's name for it is "partial 23S ribosomal RNA". It matches the Rfam family "Bacterial large subunit ribosomal RNA", at positions 57 to 666 of the family's 2925-position model. The record is from RNAcentral. RNAcentral also lists the same sequence under 1 other name. Lineage: Bacteria; Pseudomonadati; Pseudomonadota; Gammaproteobacteria; Enterobacterales; Enterobacteriaceae.